Molecule: ribosomal RNA, 447 nt
Filed under: uncultured bacterium
Lineage: Bacteria
Description: bacterial SSU rRNA
Rfam family: Bacterial small subunit ribosomal RNA
Source: RNAcentral
CCAGACUCCUACGGGAGGCAGCAGUGGGGAAUAUUGGACAAUGGGGGGAACCCUGAUCCAGCGACGCCGCGUGAGUGAAGAAGUAUUUCGGUAUGUAAAGCUCUAUCAGCAGGGAAGAAAGAAAUGACGGUACCUGACUAAGAAGCCCCGGCUAACUACGUGCCAGCAGCCGCGGUAAUACGUAGGGGGCAAGCGUUAUCCGGAUUUACUGGGUGUAAAGGGAGCGUAGACGGCGAUGCAAGUCUGAAGUGAAAGGCGGGGGCCCAACCCCCGGACUGCUCUGGAAACUGCGUCGCUGGAGUACGGGAGGGGCAGGCGGAAUUCCUGGUGUAGCGGUGAAAUGCGUAGAUAUCAGGAGGAACACCGGCGGCGAAGGCGGCCUGCUGGACCGUGACUGACGUUGAGGCUCGAGAGCGUGGGGAGCAAACAGGAUUAGAUACCCCGGUA